This 253-nucleotide ribosomal RNA is filed under the name uncultured prokaryote. Its description in RNAcentral is "partial 16S ribosomal RNA". It matches the Rfam family "Bacterial small subunit ribosomal RNA", at positions 524 to 776 of the family's 1533-position model. The record is from RNAcentral.
UACAGAGGGUGCGAGCGUUGUCCGGAAUCACUGGGCGUAAAGGGCGCGUAGGUUGCGCGACAAGUCAGUGGUGAAAGCUCGACGCUUAACGUCGAGUCGGCCACUGAUACUGUUGGGCUUGAGCACUGUAGAGGCUAAUGGAAUUCCGGGUGUAGCGGUGGAAUGCGUAGAGAUCCGGAAGAACACCGGUGGCGAAGGCGGUUAGCUGGGCAGUUGCUGACACUGAGGCGCGACAGCGUGGGGAGCAAACAGG